CCUACGGGUGGCAGCAGUGAGGAAUAUUGGUCAAUGGGCGCGAGCCUGAACCAGCCAAGUCGCGUGAGGGAAGACGGCCCUACGGGUUGUAAACCUCUUUUGCCGGGGAGCAACGGGCGCCACGUGUGGCGCCACUGAGAGUACCCGGAGAAAAAGCAUCGGCUAACUCCGUGCCAGCAGCCGCGGUAAUACGGAGGAUGCGAGCGUUAUCCGGGUUUAUUGGGUUUAAAGGGUGCGUAGGCGGAGCGUUAAGUCAGUGGUCAAAUUGAGGGGCUCAACCCCUUCCCGCCAUUGAAACUGGCGGUGUUGAGUGGAAGAGGAGGAUGCGGAAUGCGGGGUGUAGCGGUGAAAUGCAUAGAUAUCACGCAGAACCCCGGUUGCGAAGGCCGCAUGGCGGCUUCCUACUGACGCUGAAGCAAGAAAGCGGGGGGAUCGAACCGGAUUAGAUACCCCAGUAGUC
RNAcentral lists this ribosomal RNA (460 nucleotides) under uncultured bacterium. RNAcentral describes it as "partial 16S ribosomal RNA". It matches the Rfam family "Bacterial small subunit ribosomal RNA", at positions 338 to 795 of the family's 1533-position model. The record is from RNAcentral.